This 466-nucleotide ribosomal RNA is filed under the name uncultured bacterium. RNAcentral's name for it is "partial 16S ribosomal RNA". It matches the Rfam family "Bacterial small subunit ribosomal RNA", at positions 28 to 507 of the family's 1533-position model. The record is from RNAcentral.
GAUGAACGCUGGCGGCGUGCUUAACACAUGCAAGUCGAACGAUGAAGCCCAGCUUGCUGGGUGGAUUAGUGGCGAACGGGUGAGUAACACGUGAGUAACCUGCCCUUGACUCUGGGAUAAGCCUGGGAAACUGGGUCUAAUACUGGAUAUGACUUCUCAUCGCAUGGUGGGGGGUGGACAGAUUUAUUGGUCUUGGAUGGACUCGCGGCCUAUCAGCUUGUUGGUGAGGUAAUGGCUCACCAAGGCGACGACGGGUAGCCGGCCUGAGAGGGUGACCGGCCACACUGGGACUGAGACACGGCCCAGACUCCUACGGGAGGCAGCAGUGGGGAAUAUUGCACAAUGGGCGCAAGCCUGAUGCAGCGACGCCGCGUGAGGGAUGACGGCCUUCGGGUUGUAAACCUCUUUCAGUAGGGAAGAAGCGAGAGUGACGGUACCUGCAGAAGAAGCGCCGGCUAACUACGUG